GGCCGUCGGGCUGGGAGCCCGGGGCCAGGGUCCGGGAGCUCCCCGCGCCCCAGGCUGAGGGCGGGGGCGCCGCUGCGCGCCGUGACAGCCCCGUCAUUAUUGUAUUAUUACUUGUUUAGUUCAAACGCUGUCCCAGCUGCUCGAGGUGUAAACAGGCUUUGGCAAGGUGACAGCCUGCGCGGCGGGCGCUGCUGCUCAGUUUGAGGACGCGCGUUUCUCGCCGCCCCCUUUGCACCGCAGCUCCCGGCCCCCUGCAGCCCCUCGGCCGCAGAUCCAGAUGUGGGCGCCGGGCUCCCGGGGUGGGAGGAUCGCCCGAGGCCGCGGGGCAGGCUGGCCCUGCGCUGUCAGCAGCGGCUUUGUUUUGACAGGGGUCAAGUUCCCAGGUUCCAGAUUCCCACGGCCAAACUGCAUCGACCGCUUCUGGAUUUUGACGUAAAGAUUGUUCAUCCUGCUGGAACCUCUCUCCCUACAGUGAUGCCGUUUUCAGUAUUUACUGGAGCUUCUCAAGCGCACGGGAAUGUCUGUGCUUACUAACUGCCCUUUUCCCCCACACCAUUCACAUCCUCGUGUGUGGGAUGAAUGCCCACCGUGUCCCCUACAUGGGUGUAAUAAAUAAUUGCUGAAGGAAUGUAGUAGGAUCUAGCUCUACUGCUUUUCAAACUUUGAGGUGCAUAGGGAUCACCUGGGGAGCUUUACUUUUUUUUUCUUAAGAUUUUAUUUAUUUCUUCAUGAGAGACAUAGAGCACGAGAGAGAGGCAGAGACACAGGCAGAGGGAGAAGCAGACUCCAUGCGAGGAGCCAGACAUGGGACUCGAUCCCGGGUCUCCAGAGUCACCACCUGGGCCAAAGGUGGCGCUAAACCUCUGAGCCACCCAGGCUGCUCACCUGGGGAGCUUUAAAAUGCAAAUUCUGAAUCGGUGGAUCUGGAGUGGGGCUGAGAUUCUGCAUCUCGAACAAACUCUCAGAUGAUGUGAUGCCAGUCCAAUGACCACGCUCCAAGUAGCAAGUCCCUGGUUCAGACGUGGGCAAUGUUUUAUUAAUCCCUUUUGAAUUCAGCCAAGAAAGCAAACUGCCCUCCUCUGAGGGCAAUACAGGGUUGGUGUUUAUGAAGGACUGCAAAAAAGAUAGAGGGGAGGAUACUUCUAAGAAAGGUGAAAGGCCACAAGGUGAUCAUAAGGGGCAUAAGGCUAGUGGCAACAAGGCAUGGAGUCUAGUAGGCAGAUGGGAGAACUGUGCCCAGAAUGGAAAACAAGGUCAUUUAUUUAUUGGACUUGACAUUCUGCAGCUGGAAUGGGUUCAUGUAGUAACUGUCAGUUCAGUCACUUUUUAUUAGGUUCCCCACACCAACACCUUCUCUCCCAGCAGCCUGCCUUAAUAUCUGAAAAAUUCCCUGAAGUUUUGGUCCCAAGAACCAUGAGCCUAUGUGAUGUGCCCUGCACUGAUGUCUUUGAUCCUUUCAGAUUUCUGAGAGUGAGGUGUAGCACCUUUCCUCAGGUUUGUGACUUGCGUGGUUUCAUGUUCACACGCACAAACUUUUAGGAAGGGAAAGCUGCUCAUUAAAGGCCUCUCUUUCUGCUCU
This is a long non-coding RNA of Canis lupus familiaris (dog), 1579 nucleotides long. RefSeq lists it as uncharacterized. The transcript has 2 exons. NCBI's taxonomy places the organism in Eukaryota, Metazoa, Chordata, Mammalia, Carnivora, Canidae. The record is from RefSeq and is a predicted model, not a curated record.